Molecule: long non-coding RNA, 1092 nt
Organism: Megachile rotundata (alfalfa leafcutting bee)
Lineage: Eukaryota; Metazoa; Arthropoda; Insecta; Hymenoptera; Megachilidae
Source: RefSeq, a predicted model, not a curated record
UCUACAGCAUUCAAAUCUGUAACAGUCACUUCUCCUAUCUAUAUAGGACGUAUAUAUUAAGGACAUAUAUUUUUCAUUUACUACAUUACUACUACUGCGGAAUAUAGGUCGUUAAAAGAAUGCCGUAAAAAUUAAGAAUAAAAUUAUUCUUAUUACCCUGUAUUUGUUUCAACAUAGUAUUACAGUUAUACCGAGUAUCCAUAAAAACCUAAUUGUACCCAUAUUUAAUUAAAAUACAGGACAAAUAUGAUACAUACUUAUUAAUAUAUUGUAAAUUGAAAAUAAAAAUGACUAAAGCAAACAUUAUAAUAAAUAAAUAAAAAUUAAGAGUUUAGACAAACAUUUUAUUGUUGAAUCAUUUUUCAUUAAAUUAUUAAGUUUCUAAUGUUUUUAAUAAAAUCUUGAAUUCUAAUAAAUUUUUAUUUACUUUUUAACUGCAGAUGUGUGUAUUUUAUUCAAAGUAAUUGCAUCAGUACAUAUUUUAAUUUUCUAAGCCCUAGUUAUACACAAAUUAAUGGUUUGCUCCAUAUACAAAAAUGAUUAAAUAAUUUGGCACAAAUUCCGUUUCAUUUUACUGUUGCAAUUCCUCAAACUAGUUAAGUAACUAAUUCGAUUCUCUACAAACUAUAAACUACAGGGUUCUAAGACACAGUAGCCUUCAAUGUGAGAUAUCUUACCGAAUUGUGCAAAUUAAGUAAACAAAAUUUCUUUAAGUAUGCAAGUAGAUGUCAUGUACCAUUAAAUGAAUUCUGGAAAUUAUUAAGUUAAGCUUAUAAGUCAAAAAACAUUUUACUUUUGUUCUUCAAACAUCAUUCUCAUAAAAACAUUACUUAUUGAUAAUAUUCUACGGAACACUGAAUCUAAUAAUAUAAAUUCAAGUUUAUGUAACAAAUUAUUUGAAUUAUUCCAGUUGCUUUGCAACAGAAAUAUAUGAAAACUACUAUUAAAACUCAGUCUCUUCAAUUCCAUUAUUUUCAUAUUAUUCCAGUGUGCUGAGCCUGUAAUUCCUAAAUUUGUUGUCAUUACUAAAAUUCAUUACUACCUAUUCUUAUAUGCUAUUGAUACGCUCGUAAAAGAGAAGGUAUGGUGUGG